AUGGCGGAGCGGGGGCGGGCAUCCCAGUUGUGCUCUCGGAGGCCGCCACUGGGGCUGGACCCGCGCCGGGAGCGCACCCGGGGCGGGGUCAACCCGGGCGGCGCGGGUGGAGACUCCGAUCGCUGUGGGUGGGGGUCGGUCCCAGUUGUGCUCCGGGGAGGCCGCCACUGGGGCUGGACCCGCGCCGGGAGCGCACCCGGGGCGGGGUCAACCCGGGCGGCGCGGGUGGAGACUCCGAUCGCUGUGGGUGGGGGUCGGUCCCAGUUGUGCUCCGGGGAGGCCGCCACUGGGGCUGGACCCGCGCCGGGAGCGCACCCGGGGCGGGGUCAACCCGGGCGGCGCGGGUGGAGACUCCGAUCGCUGUGGGUGGGGGUCGGUCCCAGUUGUGCUCCGGGGAUCCCCACUGCGGCUGGGAAGGCACCGGGAGCAUGGCAGGGGCGGGGCGGCGGUCGGCUCCUGGCGGGGGUAGGGGAGGGGUUCCCCGUUGUCCUCUCGGGGGUCGCCAUGGCGGCUGGGAACGCCCAUUGCGUGCGCUCCUGGGUCCCCAAGGGUCGGCAUCCAGUGGGCGCGGCGGAGGGGUGCGGACCACAGGUCAGGGAACUGGGACUGCGUGGAGCAGGGAACCACGUAGUCCGCCCUCUGUUGGCACAACCUGGCGGUCGCAGAAAGGCCUCGCCUUUGGGCUCAAGGCCUUUACCGCUCCACCCCUUUGCUGAAAGGUCAGAGCCGCGCGGUUUUCCCAAGCAGCCUAGUGUCCGCUGCAAGUCCAAGGGCCAGAACCCUGAACUCUGGCCGGCUGGCCCAGCCCUGCUUCUGGCACUUUUUUUUUUUUUUUUUUUUUUUUUUUUUUUUUUUUUUUUUUUUUUUUUUUUUUUUUUUUUUUUUUUUUUUUUUUUUUUUUUUUUUUUUUUUUUUUUUUUUUUUUUUUUUUUUUUUUUUUUUUUUUUUUUUUUUUUUUUUUUUUUUUUUUUUUUUUUUUUUUUUUUUUUUUUUUUUUUUUUUUUUUUUUUUUUUUUUUUUUUUUUUUUUUUUUUUUUUUUUUUUUUUUUUUUUUUUUUUUUUUUUUUUUUUUUUUUUUUUUUUUUUUUUUUUUUUUUUUUUUUUUUUUUUUUUUUUUUUUUUUUUUUUUUUUUUUUUUUUUUUUUUUUUUUUUUUUUUUUUUUUUUUUUUUUUUUUUUUUUUUUUUUUUUUUUUUUUUUUUUUUUUUUUUUUUUUUUUUUUUUUUUUUUUUUUUUUUUUUUUUUUUUUUUUUUUUUUUUUUUUUUUUUUUUUUUUUUUUUUUUUUUUUUUUUUUUUUUUUUUUUUUUUUUUUUUUUUUUUUUUUUUUUUUUUUUUUUUUUUUUUUUUUUUUUUUUUUUUUUUUUUUUUUUUUUUUUUUUUUUUUUUUUUUUUUUUUUUUUUUUUUUUUUUUUUUUUUUUUUUUUUUUUUUUUUUUUUUUUUUUUUUUUUUUUUUUUUUUUUUUUUUUUUUUUUUUUUUUUUUUUUUUUUUUUUUUUUUUUUUUUUUUUUUUUUUUUUUUUUUUUUUUUUUUUUUUUUUUUUUUUUUUUUUUUUUUUUUUUUUUUUUUUUUUUUUUUUUUUUUUUUUUUUUUUUUUUUUUUUUUUUUUUUUUUUUUUUUUUUUUUUUUUUUUUUUUUUUUUUUUUUUUUUUUUUUUUUUUUUUUUUUUUUUUUUUUUUUUUUUUUUUUUUUUUUUUUUUUUUUUUUUUUUUUUUUUUUUUUUUUUUUUUUUUUUUUUUUUUUUUUUUUUUUUUUUUUUUUUUUUUUUUUUUUUUUUUUUUUUUUUUUUUUUUUUUUUUUUUUUUUUUUUUUUUUUUUUUUUUUUUUUUUUUUUUUUUUUUUUUUUUUUUUUUUUUUUUUUUUUUUUUUUUUUUUUUUUUUUUUUUUUUUUUUUUUUUUUUUUUUUUUUUUUUUUUUUUUUUUUUUUUUUUUUUUUUUUUUUUUUUUUUUUUUUUUUUUUUUUUUUUUUUUUUUUUUUUUUUUUUUUUUUUUUUUUUUUUUUUUUUUUUUUUUUUUUUUUUUUUUUUUUUUUUUUUUUUUUUUUUUUUUUUUUUUUUUUUUUUUUUUUUUUUUUUUUUUUUUUUUUUUUUUUUUUUUUUUUUUUUUUUUUUUUUUUUUUUUUUUUUUUUUUUUUUUUUUUUUUUUUUUUUUUUUUUUUUUUUUUUUUUUUUUUUUUUUUUUUUUUUUUUAAUUUGUUUUUUGUUUUUCUUUUUUUUAGAAAAGAUUCCGAAAAAUGA
Bos grunniens (domestic yak) is the source of this 2235-nucleotide long non-coding RNA. The record is from Ensembl. NCBI's taxonomy places the organism in Eukaryota, Metazoa, Chordata, Mammalia, Artiodactyla, Bovidae.